Molecule: RNA transcript, 921 nt
Organism: Cucumis sativus (cucumber)
Lineage: Eukaryota; Viridiplantae; Streptophyta; Magnoliopsida; Cucurbitales; Cucurbitaceae
Exons: 2
Source: RefSeq, a predicted model, not a curated record
AUCAUUCUCAAAACCCCUAAUUGAAGCACGCAUUCCAACUGAAAUCAACAUUUUCUUUCAUUUUUCCAAAGCAAGAGACUAACCAUUCAAAAUUCUCCGCCCUCAAUUCCCAAAAUUAUUGGCCAAACUUCAUCUUCUUCAUCUCCGUGUCCAUCUUAAACUUUUCAUCUCAACAAAAUACAUUGGUAAGGAUUCCUCGCAAGACCUACGACCCACAACGUUCAUAUAACAUCCACCAAUGAAAUAGUAUCCUGCCUCAACCGACCGCACUGCAUCAUGCAAUCCAUCAACUCAAUUGUAAAUUGAGAGUACUCUAAAAGCGAAUCUAGAACCGAUUUUAUGAUGCUCUUCGACAACAUGUAGAUGAAUUCAACAAUGUCAAAGAACAUCCAUUCAUGUUCACCGUCGCCCUCUCAAACCCUCUCUCUGCUGCUCUGUUUCCAUCUCUCCAGGUUUCAAUCGCGAAGUAUUGAAGUGUUGCUGCUCUCCCUGCUAUCGUCUUCCAUCUCUCCAAGUUUCAAUUUCUCCUUGCAUUCAAUUGUUCGUCUAUCCUUUGGGCUUUCAUUUCUCCAGUUGGCACCAGCUUCCAAGAUGCAUGUGUAAUUGAGAUAUGAUGAUGCACACAAGAUCCAAUGACAGAUUGUAAUUUAUGCCCAUUCUCGCCAAUUGGUACUCCAUUUUCAUUAUAGUCAACUACUAUUUUUUUCCUCGUACUUCUAAUUCUUGUAACGUCAGAUCAAUGUCAGUCCUCUUGUUUUCCUUUUUUCGUUCUUCGGUGCUUCAACAUGUUCCAAUUCAUUUGUAUUUGCAUUAUCCAAAUCUACUUUGAUGUCGUCCAAUCCAAGUGCUAAGUCCUCAUCACUUGCUAGCUUCAUUGUAUAAGAAUUAACCUGAGAAAACAAAUAAAGUUAAAUUAGCUAA